GAUGAACGCUGGCGGCGUGCCUAAUACAUGCAAGUCGAGCGAACGGACGAGAAGCUUGCUUCUCUGAUGUUAGCGGCGGACGGGUGAGUAACACGUGGAUAACCUACCUAUAAGACUGGGAUAACUUCGGGAAACCGUAGCUAAUACCGGAUAAUAUUUUGAACCGCAUGGUUCAAAAGUGAAAGACGGUCUUGCUGUCACUUAUAGAUGGAUCCGCGCUGCAUUAGCUAGUUGGUAAGGUAACGGCUUACCAAGGCAACGAUGCAUAGCCGACCUGAGAGGGUGAUCGGCCACACUGGAACUGAGACACGGUCCAGACUCCUACGGGAGGCAGCAGUAGGGAAUCUUCCGCAAUGGGCGAAAGCCUGACGGAGCAACGCCGCGUGAGUGAUGAAGGUCUUCGGAUCGUAAAACUCUGUUAUUAGGGAAGAACAUAUGAGUAAGUAACUGUGCACAUCUUGACGGUACCUAAUCAGAAAGCCACGGCUAACUACGUG
RNAcentral lists this ribosomal RNA (497 nucleotides) under uncultured bacterium. Its description in RNAcentral is "partial 16S ribosomal RNA". It matches the Rfam family "Bacterial small subunit ribosomal RNA", at positions 28 to 507 of the family's 1533-position model. The record is from RNAcentral.